This 77-nucleotide transfer RNA is filed under the name Tepiditoga spiralis. RNAcentral's name for it is "Oceanotoga sp. sy52 tRNA-Met". It matches the Rfam family "tRNA". Rfam says of the family: Transfer RNA (tRNA) molecules are approximately 80 nucleotides in length. The record is from RNAcentral. Lineage: Bacteria; Thermotogati; Thermotogota; Thermotogae; Petrotogales; Petrotogaceae.
GGCGAGGUAGCUCAGUUGGCUAGAGCAUGCGGUUCAUACCCGCAGAGUCGGGGGUUCGAAUCCCUUCCUCGCUACCA